This 253-nucleotide ribosomal RNA is filed under the name uncultured bacterium. RNAcentral describes it as "partial 16S ribosomal RNA". It matches the Rfam family "Bacterial small subunit ribosomal RNA", at positions 524 to 776 of the family's 1533-position model. The record is from RNAcentral.
UACGGAGGGUGCAAGCGUUAUCCGGAUUCACUGGGUUUAAAGGGUGCGUAGGCGGGCAGGUAAGUCCGUGGUGAAAUCUCUGAGCUUAACUCAGAAACUGCCAUGGAUACUAUUUGUCUUGAAUGUUGUGGAGGUAAGCGGAAUAUGUCAUGUAGCGGUGAAAUGCUUAGAUACGACAUAGAACACCAAUUGCGAAGGCAGCUUACUACACAAAUAUUGACGCUGAGGCACGAAAGCGUGGGGAUCAAACAGG